UACGAAGGGGGCAAGCGUUGUUCGGAAUGACUGGGCGUAAAGAGCUCGUAGGCGGUUUGUCGCGUCUGCUGUGAAAACCCGAGGCUCAACCUCGGGCCUGCAGUGGGUACGGGCAGACUAGAGUGCGGUAGGGGAGAUUGGAAUUCCUGGUGUAGCGGUGGAAUGCGCAGAUAUCAGGAGGAACACCAAUGGCGAAGGCGGCAUCCUGGACCGGCAUUGACGCUGAGGCGCGAAAGCCAGGGGAGCAAACGGG
Molecule: ribosomal RNA, 253 nt
Filed under: uncultured bacterium
Lineage: Bacteria
Description: partial 16S ribosomal RNA
Rfam family: Bacterial small subunit ribosomal RNA
Source: RNAcentral